AUUGAACGCUGGCGGCAUGCCUAACACAUGCAAGUCGAACGAGCACUUUCGGGUGCUAGUGGCGCACGGGUGCGUAACGCGUGGGAAUCUGCCCUGGGGUACGGAAUAACUCAGAGAAAUUUGAGCUAAUACCGUAUGAUGACGUAAGUCCAAAGAUUUAUCGCCCUGGGAUGAGCCCGCGUUGGAUUAGCUAGUUGGUGGGGUAAGAGCCUACCAAGGCGACGAUCCAUAGCUGGUCUGAGAGGAUGAUCAGCCACACUGGGACUGAGACACGGCCGAGACUCCUACGGGAGGCAGCAGUGGGGAAUAUUGGACAAUGGGCGCAAGCCUGAUCCAGCAAUGCCGCGUGAGUGAUGAAGGCCUUAGGGUUGUAAAGCUCUUUUACCCGGGAAGAUAAUGACUGUACCGGGAGAAUAAGCCCCGGCUAACUCCGUGCCAGCCGCCGCAGUAA
RNAcentral lists this ribosomal RNA (451 nucleotides) under uncultured bacterium. Its description in RNAcentral is "partial 16S ribosomal RNA". It matches the Rfam family "Bacterial small subunit ribosomal RNA", at positions 30 to 523 of the family's 1533-position model. The record is from RNAcentral.